This 384-nucleotide unclassified non-coding RNA is filed under the name Hevea brasiliensis (rubber tree). Lineage: Eukaryota; Viridiplantae; Streptophyta; Magnoliopsida; Malpighiales; Euphorbiaceae. The record is from RNAcentral.
GAGGAUAUAAGCUACUCUAGAAAACCUUACUUCAACUGUAACUGUGACAGAAGACCACAGGUAAAACGGAACCUCUGCUGAACUGACUAAAAACUGCACAAUCUGGUAUAAUCAAGAAAUACUUGUAUCCUAAAUUAUGGUUUUUGCUUUGGAAUGUACCUUGUCUUAAUAGACUUAUCAGGCUUCUGCCUAAACUUAAGUUUAGAAUUUCCAUGGGAGGAUACAUUAGAAACUCCAGUAUUUCUCUGCUGGUUAUCAGCUUCGACAAGAACGCCAUGCUCCUGAUCAUCUGAUGAUGGGGCUGCUUCUGAACUGCUGUUUUGCGCAUCUGGAUGUCCAGAAACUUCGGUGUCAUUGGAAAGGACUAAUGUAACAUGAUCCCCG